This 600-nucleotide ribosomal RNA is filed under the name Wolbachia endosymbiont of Apis mellifera carnica. Its description in RNAcentral is "bacterial SSU rRNA". It matches the Rfam family "Bacterial small subunit ribosomal RNA", at positions 372 to 993 of the family's 1533-position model. The record is from RNAcentral. Lineage: Bacteria; Pseudomonadati; Pseudomonadota; Alphaproteobacteria; Rickettsiales; Anaplasmataceae.
UGGGCGAAAGCCUGAUCUGCCUGCCGCAUGAGUGAAGAAGGCCUUUGGGUUGUAAAGCUCUUUUAGUGAGGNNNAUAAUGACGGUACUCACAGAAGAAGUCCUGGCUAACUCCGUGCCAGCAGCCGCGGUAAUACGGAGAGGGCUAGCGUUAUUCGGAAUUAUUGGGCGUAAAGGGCGCGUAGGCGGAUUAGUAAGUUAAAAGUGAAAUCCCAAGGCUCAACCUUGGAAUUGCUUUUAAAACUGCUAAUCUAGAGAUUGAAAGAGGAUAGAGGAAUUCCUAGUGUAGAGGUGAAAUUCGUAAAUAUUAGGAGGAACACCAGUGGCGAAGGCGUCUAUCUGGUUCAAAUCUGACGCUGAGGCGCGAAGGCGUGGGGAGCAAACAGGAUUAGAUACCCUGGUAGUCCACGCUGUAAACGAUGAAUGUUAAAUAUGGGAAGUUUUACUUUCUGUAUUACAGCUAACGCGUUAAACAUUCCGCCUGGGGACUACGGUCGCAAGAUUAAAACUCAAAGGAAUUGACGGGGACCCGCACAAGCGGUGGAGCAUGUGGUUUAAUUCGAUGCAACGCGAAAAACCUUACCACUCCUUGACAUGAAAAU